GUGGCAGACGGGUGAGUAACACGUGGGAACCUACCCAAAGGUACGGAAUAACACAGGGAAACUUGUGCUAAUACCGUAUGUGCCCUUCGGGGGAAAGAUUUAUCGCCUUUGGAUGGGCCCGCGUCGGAUUAGCUAGUUGGUGGGGUAAUGGCCUACCAAGGCGACAAUCCGUAGCUGGUCUGAGAGGAUGAUCAGCCACACUGGGACUGAGACACGGCCCAGACUCCUACGGGAGGCAGCAGUGGGGAAUAUUGGACAAUGGGCGCAAGCCUGAUCCAGCCAUGCCGCGUGAGUGAUGAAGGCCUUAGGGUUGUAAAGCUCUUUCAGCUGGGAAGAUAAUGACGGUACCAGCAGAAGAAGCCCCGGCUAACUUCGUGCCAGCAGCCGCGGUAAUACGAAGGGGGCUAGCGUUGUUCGGAAUCACUGGGCGUAAAGCGCACGUAGGCGGAUCGAUAAGUCAGGGGUGAAAUCCCGAGGCUCAACCUCGGAACUGCCUUUGAUACUGUCGAUCUUGAGUCCGGGAGAGGUGAGUGGAACUCCGAGUGUAGAGGUGAAAUUCGUAGAUAUUCGGAAGAACACCAGUGGCGAAGGCGGCUCACUGGCCCGGUACUGACGCUGAGGUGCGAAAGCGUGGGGAGCAAAC
This 643-nucleotide ribosomal RNA is filed under the name uncultured Hyphomicrobiales bacterium. RNAcentral's name for it is "bacterial SSU rRNA". It matches the Rfam family "Bacterial small subunit ribosomal RNA", at positions 95 to 773 of the family's 1533-position model. Lineage: Bacteria; Pseudomonadati; Pseudomonadota; Alphaproteobacteria; Hyphomicrobiales. The record is from RNAcentral.